UACGGGGGGGGCAAGCGUUGUUCGGAAUUACUGGGCGUAAAGGGCGCGUAGGCGGUUGGAUAAGUCAGCUGUGAAAACCACGGGCUUAACUCGUGGCCUGCAGUUGAGACUGUCUGGCUUGAGUGUGGGAGAGGAGAGUGGAAUUCCUGGUGUAGCGGUGAAAUGCGUAGAUAUCGAGAGGAACACCAGUGGCGAAGGCGAGUCUCUGGACGACUCCUGACACUGAGGCACGAAAGCUAGGGGAGCAAACAGG
RNAcentral lists this ribosomal RNA (253 nucleotides) under uncultured bacterium. Its description in RNAcentral is "partial 16S ribosomal RNA". It matches the Rfam family "Bacterial small subunit ribosomal RNA", at positions 524 to 776 of the family's 1533-position model. The record is from RNAcentral.